AAUGUGAAUUGCAUAAUUCAGUGAAUCAUCGAAUCUUUGAACGCACCUUGCACCUUUUGGUUAUUCCGAAAGGUACACCUGUUUGAAUGUCACGAAACCCCCCUCGGCUCUAAUGCUUUCUAAAAGGAUUAGAGACGGAUUCUGAGUGU
Molecule: ribosomal RNA, 149 nt
Filed under: uncultured Melampsora
Lineage: Eukaryota; Fungi; Basidiomycota; Pucciniomycetes; Pucciniales; Melampsoraceae
Description: 5.8S ribosomal RNA
Rfam family: 5.8S ribosomal RNA (bases 1-92)
About the family: 5.8S ribosomal RNA (5.8S rRNA) is a component of the large subunit of the eukaryotic ribosome. It is transcribed by RNA polymerase I as part of the 45S precursor that also contains 18S and 28S rRNA.
Source: RNAcentral